RNAcentral lists this long non-coding RNA (1891 nucleotides) under Homo sapiens (human). RNAcentral's name for it is "non-protein coding SMIM2-AS1:11". Lineage: Eukaryota; Metazoa; Chordata; Mammalia; Primates; Hominidae. The record is from RNAcentral.
GCUGGGAAUUUGCCAUCCUGUUGCAGGAGCACAGCAGCAGCCCCAGAAAAAUAUUUUUCAAGGCUGCAGAGAAAACAAGGGCUGGAAAAAUGUUUGUUUAUUGCCAGCUCUCCCCACAGCCGCUUAUAUAACAGCCUGUGCUGAGACAGGCUGUCCUGCCCAGGCUCAGAAUCAAGAGUCACACUCCUUGGGAUGAUGACAGAGACAAUGUGGGAACUACAGGGCUAUGGCCUAUGACGUCCAGGAAGGAAAACCAAGUGGUUCUUCCCCAAACCAUCAUGGACCAGUUGGACUCUGAGAAGAAAAGUUUCUGAUCUUUAGUUCAUUCUUCCAACUCUCUAGAAAGCAGGAAAACUGAGAAUGAAAAAUUCUAAAUUACUCAGGACUCAUGGGUUGCCAAUAGAAGAAAUACAUCUUAAACUAGCUUAAGCCUGAAAGGGAAAUGUAUUUGUUCAUGUAACUGAACCAUAACGAAGGAUGGUGGACUGAGGGACCUGAAAACACCCUCAGGACUCCCUCCCUCUCCUUUGUGCUCCUGUCUGAUGCCGUCUUCCCAGACCUGCUCACUCUCCAUAAGGUGGGGAUGUGGCCAUCAGCAACGUGUACUUCCCCGAAGCUUGUGACCUGAGUAGAUAGGCAUCUCCCAACCCACAAGGAUUGAAAAGUUCCUCUAGGAAUUAUGUGGAUUGGCCCAUUCACUAUGACAUGUUCCCCCUAAGCAGCUAAAGGAACUGGGUCUGUUACCAGAAGAGGUGGGAGAGGGGUGCUAGGCAGAUUGAACAACAGCCACUACAACAUCUGAGGAGGAGACCUCCGUGAAGGCCACCAAGUCUGCUAGCAGAUAUUUCCUCCCUCGGAUCUCUCUCCCUGUCCUCACAGUCUCAUAAGUGAGGAUUAAAUACUACAUGUGGCCUAGGAGAUCUUAGACCCUCCACACGAAGAUAUAGUAACAAUCAACAUCCUAGUGUUCUGGCAGAGAAAAAAUCAGAAAGAAUCGUUUGCCUGAUUUUUCCAUCAAUACCAAUAAUUAAUUAGAGAUGAAAUUUGUGAUGGACUCAGAGAAUUAGAGAAGAUCUAAGGGAAUCUAGAUGAUUUCCUACCCCUAACCAGAGCCUCACAAAAAAGGGUGAAGAUCUAUGGCCGUCUUGCGUUUGGUGUGAGGCUGGACAAGGAAGUUCCUAAGGUCCUUUAGACUCUGUGAGAUCAUGAGUCCGUAAAACCCUUCCAACUUGAAAUUAGUUGAUUCCUUCCUUAAAUUUUCUGGGACAUUCCCCCACUCCCUCCACUCUUAUUAGCUGAUUUUACUGACCAAUAGGCCUUGAAGUUGGGCGUUCCAUCUAGAUGUCUCACAUCAACUCACCUUUUGCAAAUUAAGCCCAUACCCUUAAAGAGGGGAAUUCUCAAGCCAUUAGAAACUAGAGAGUCAGCUGGGCAUGGUGGCUCACGCCUGUAAUCCCAGAACUUUGGGAGGCCAAGGUGGGUGGAUCACUUGAGGUCAGGAGUUCGAGUCCAGCCUGACCAACAUGGCGAAACCCCGUCUCUACUAAAAAUACAAAAAUUAGCCAGGGGUGAUGGCAUGCACCUGUAAUCCCAGCUACUCAGGAGGCUGAGGCAGGAGAAUUGCUUGAACCUGGGAGGCGGAGGUUGCAGUGAGCCAAGUUUGCACCACAGCACUCCAGCCUGGGCAACAGAGUGAGACUCAGUUUCAAAAAACAAAAGAACAAACAAACAAAAACUAGAGGGUCUCCUCUUAGUUCUUAAACCCUCUUAGUCAACAUUUGUGAGCCUCUUUUCUGUAUGUUUUGGCAUCUUUAUUCCUUUCCUUCGUGUCUUGACCAAAUUCACCAGAUCAUGACUCAGAACAAAAUCCUGAGGUUGAAUAUAGAGGUCU